This 410-nucleotide unclassified non-coding RNA is filed under the name plant metagenome. RNAcentral's name for it is "partial contains 5.8S ribosomal RNA, internal transcribed spacer 2, and large subunit ribosomal RNA". The record is from RNAcentral.
CAUCAGUUGUAAUGCCGGCUAAAAUAAUAUUUUGGAUGCCUUUGCGUCUGAGCAGUAAAUCUAAAUCCGUUGCAUAAAAAGAUCCUUUUCCCGGCUUAUCAAUCACAGUUUCUCCCGGUAAAGGUGCAAGCUCUGGAAUAAUUUCCCAACCGGCUUCCCCGCGAAUUAAAAUCUUUCCACAAGGGCCAGGAUCACCAAUGCCGGCACCAAUUUGACGUGAACGCCACUGCUUAUUUUCUGGUAAAUCAGAUAAAUCAGGACGGUGUCCUUCGCGGGUGUGCAUCACAUGAAAAUUUUUAGCCCGUGCGACUUCUAAAACUCGCUGAAUUGGCUCAAUUGGGGCGCGAGUUAGUGAUAAAUCGUAACCCAUUUUAUCAACAUAGCCACCAACGCCGCAGAAAUCCGUCUGC